Molecule: ribosomal RNA, 394 nt
Filed under: uncultured bacterium
Lineage: Bacteria
Description: partial 16S ribosomal RNA
Rfam family: Bacterial small subunit ribosomal RNA
Source: RNAcentral
AUACGUAGGGGACGAGCGUUGUCCGGAAUUACUGGGCGUAAAGGGCGCGCAGGCGGAUAUUUAAGUCAGCUGUAAAAGGCAUGAGCUCAACUCAUGUAUGCGGUUGAAACUGGGUAUCUAGAGUGCUGGAGAGGUAGGCGGAAUUCCCGGUGUAGCGGUGAAGUGCGUAGAUAUCGGGAAGAACACCAGUGGCGAAGGCGGCUUACUGGCCAGCAACUGACGCUGAGGCGCGAAAGCCAGGGGAGCGAACGGGAUUAGAUACCCCGGUAGUCCUGGCCGUAAACGAUGAAUGCUAGGUGUGGGUGUCGAGAGGCAUCCGUGCCGGAGUUAACGCGAUAAGCAUUCCGCCUGGGGAGUACGAUCGCAAGAUUGAAACUCAAAGGAAUUGGCGGGG